This is a small nuclear RNA of Hyposmocoma kahamanoa, 148 nucleotides long. RefSeq annotates it as U2 spliceosomal RNA. The transcript has a single exon. The record is from RefSeq and is a predicted model, not a curated record. Lineage: Eukaryota; Metazoa; Arthropoda; Insecta; Lepidoptera; Cosmopterigidae.
AUCGCUUCUCGGCCUUUUGGCUAAGAUCAAAGUGUAGGUUUAAAAGAAAACACAUUUGCCUUUCAAAAUUACUUUCGAGGUUAUGAAAAUUCGAUAAAACGUUAUUUCUAGAAAAUGUCAUUUCGGUCUUCUGACAGGUAACCCCAUU